This is a long non-coding RNA of Mustela putorius furo (domestic ferret), 1759 nucleotides long. Lineage: Eukaryota; Metazoa; Chordata; Mammalia; Carnivora; Mustelidae. The record is from Ensembl.
CGACGGAAGAGCUCCCCGGAGCCCGGGUGGUGGCCGCAAAGGGAGUCCGAGCCCGCCCCUCUUGUAUUGCCCGCCCCGAGCUGAGCCUUGCUGGUCCUCUCCCCUUCCCUACCCCAUCUCCUGUUCGCUCCCUCCAACUUCCUGCGUUUGCUGGCUACCUUCCUAGCUCUGGACCUUGGCUCGCUCUUCCAAAUUCCAGCAGUUUCUCUCCCAUUUGUUUGGUGUCACGGCGGACAGAUAAUUGGUGAGGCAGUCCAUCUCCCCAACACCCCGCCCUCAGAGCUGUCCGCCCACGUGGCCCAGGUACAGCAAGGAGACCUAUGCCCACGUGACACGGGUGAGCCUUUGAGUCCUUUUGGCACAAAGGUGAGUAUCAGGCGGAGCCCCACCGCAUGCCACCCUGAGACUUUCCCUGAAUUACCCUGCCAUACCCGCAUACCAGCGGGACAACGAUUUCCUAUUUUUCUUCAAAUCAACUCCCUUUUCAGCCUUUGACACAUGUAUUUAAAAGGGGAUCUUUGUUUUAUUGCCGCAAGUAGAUAAGGAAUCACCCUCGCCAUUAAUAGAAGGAACCACAAGAGAGAAAAUGGGGGGGAAAAGGUAAGUCUCACUAAGUUCUUUUCUUUUGUCUUUAGAGGUAUGAAGUCUGCCCCAGACUCGAUGCUUUGCUGCCAGAUAGAAAGACGUUAAGGGCAAAGUAGCAUCACUUCCAGUCUUGACGCUCUCCGAAAGCCUGAUGGCCCGACUGCUUUCUACAUCUGCUUUCCUGCAUUUCCUCCGACGCAUGGAGAAAAACGUGUCUAAUGCACGAGCCUACUGGAACCCAGGCAAGAAAUGCAAACGAAUGCGGUGGUCCAUGACAGGGGUGCUGGGGACCCAGGCAAACUGGAGGGCCCGGGCCCUGUCCAAAGAAACGUGGUGCCCAUUCAGCUCCUGCCCGCCGCUCCCCCCAUAGAAACCUGAGCUCCGAACUGCUGGAGCCACCCAUUUCUCUAGAGAUUCUGGAAAUCUGAACUUUUCUGUAAAAUCUCCAUUUUUUUUUUUGGCCAAAAUAUUAAAACAAAAUGAAACAAUCUUCUAUAAGAGUGCAUACAAACAUGUAGACAUGUCACUUUUAAAGGUGACAGCCCAAACUGGAAAUAACCCUCCGGUCCUUGAGCAGGUGAAUGGAUAAGCCACUUCAGGUGUGUGGAUAUGACAUAUACUAGUGGUUUAUACGUACAAUACUAUACUCACACAACACGUACUGCUCAUCAAUGAGUAAACCAGGACUCUUGAUUCCGCUGAGUGAAAGAAACCAAAUGGAAGAACCCAGUGCACACGAGUAUGUCUCCCUUCACAAAAGAGUCUAGACAACGUAAACGCCUCUAUAGGGACAGAAAGCAGUCGGUGGUUGUGGCGGGCUGCAGGGGUGGGGGGUGGAGAAAGAGAUGAGAAAGAGCCACAAGGAAACCUUUGAUCUGUUCACUACCUUGAUUGAAGGUACCUCAUGACAUGUAUUUGUCAGAACUUCUCUAAUUGGGGCGCCUGGGUGGCUCAAUGAGUUAAAGCCUCUGUCUUUGGCUCAGGUCAUAAUUCCAGGGUCCUGAGAUCGAGCCCCAUGUCAGGCUCUCUGCUCGGCGGGGAGCCUACUUCCCCCUCUCUCUCUGCCUGCCUCUCUGCCUACUUGUGAUCUCUGUCAAGCAAAUAAAUAAAAUCUUAAAAAAAAAAAAUCUCAAAUUGUACACUUGGAAAACAGGCACCUAAUGACAUGUCAAGG